AGAGUUUGAUCAUGGCUCAGAUUGAACGCUGGCGGCAGGCCUAACACAUGCAAGUCGAACGGUAACAGGAARCAGCUUGCUGCUUUGCUGACGAGUGGCGGACGGGUGAGUAAUGUCUGGGAAACUGCCUGAUGGAGGGGGAUAACUACUGGAAACGGUAGCUAAUACCGCAUAACGUCGCAAGACCAAAGAGGGGGACCUUCGGGCCUCUUGCCAUCGGAUGUGCCCAGAUGGGAUUAGCUUGUUGGUGGGGUAACGGCUCACCAAGGCGACGAUCCCUAGCUGGUCUGAGAGGAUGACCAGCCACACUGGAACUGAGACACGGUCCAGACUCCUACGGGAGGCAGCAGUGGGGAAUAUUGCACAAUGGGCGCAAGCCUGAUGCAGCCAUGCCGCGUGUAUGAAGAAGGCCUUCGGGUUGUAAAGUACUUUCAGCGGGGAGGAAGGGAGUAAAGUUAAUACCUUURCUCAUUGACGUUACCCGCAGAAGAAGCACCGGCUAACUCCGUGCCAGCAGCCGCGGUAAUACGGAGGGUGCAAGCGUUAAUCGGAAUUACUGGGCGUAAAGCGCACGCAGGCGGUUUGUUAAGUCAGAUGUGAAAUCCCCGGGCUCAACCUGGGAACUGCAUCUGAUACUGGCAAGCUUGAGUCUCGUAGAGGGGGGUAGAAUUCCAGGUGUAGCGGUGAAAUGCGUAGAGAUCUGGAGGAAUACCGGUGGCGAAGGCGGCCCCCUGGACGAAGACUGACGCUCAGGUGCGAAAGCGUGGGGAGCAAACAGGAUUAGAUACCCUGGUAGUCCACGCCGUAAACGAUGUCGACUUGGAGGUUGUGCCCUUGAGGCGUGGCUUCCGGAGCUAACGCGUUAAGUCGACCGCCUGGGGAGUACGGCCGCAAGGUUAAAACUCAAAUGAAUUGACGGGGGCCCGCACAAGCGGUGGAGCAUGUGGUUUAAUUCGAUGCAACGCGAAGAACCUUACCUGGUCUUGACAUCCACGGAAGUUUUCAGAGAUGAGAAUGUGCCUUCGGGAACCGUGAGACAGGUGCUGCGACCUCGCGAGAGCAAGCGGACCUCAUAAAGUGCGUCGUAGUCCGGAUUGGAGUCUGCAACUCGACUCCAUGAAGUCGGAAUCGCUAGUAAUCGUGGAUCAGAAUGCCACGGUGAAUACGUUCCCGGGCCUUGUACACACCGCCCGUCACACCAUGGGAGUGGGUUGCAAAAGAAGUAGGUAGCUUAACCUUCGGGAGGGCGCUUACCACUUUGUGAUUCAUGACUGGGGUGAAGUCGUAACAAGGUAACCGUAGGGGAACCUGCGGUUG
RNAcentral lists this ribosomal RNA (1317 nucleotides) under Escherichia coli O26. RNAcentral describes it as "bacterial SSU rRNA". Lineage: Bacteria; Pseudomonadati; Pseudomonadota; Gammaproteobacteria; Enterobacterales; Enterobacteriaceae. The record is from RNAcentral.